UGAGGAAUUUUGAGGAAGAUGUGUUGUUUCCUUCCCCAGCGGAGUAAUUUGUCCCUUCUCCUGGUAACAGAGAUGUCUCUUCAGCAAUUAAAAGAGAAUACUUGAUUUAUGUAUACCUGGUUGGUGGUUGAUCCCCACAGAGUCUCACAUCUUCCCCUGAUAAGAUCCCCAGGGGAGUUCCUCUAUGUUAGAUCUUAUUGAUAUCUCUGCAUGUUCCCCGGCUGAGACUUUGCCUAUCCCCUGUGGUUGACAGUUUU
This 257-nucleotide long non-coding RNA is filed under the name Lathyrus oleraceus (garden pea). RNAcentral's name for it is "Pisum sativum (pea) long non-coding RNA (PSAT_LNC021049)". Lineage: Eukaryota; Viridiplantae; Streptophyta; Magnoliopsida; Fabales; Fabaceae. The record is from RNAcentral.